ACAGUCAUCUCUAGUAUAAGCAAUCUAUACUGUGAAACUGCGAAUGGCUCAUUAAAUCAGUUAUCGUUUAUUUGAUAGUACCUUACUACAUGGAUACCUGUGGUAAUUCUAGAGCUAAUACAUGCUAAAAACCCCGACUUCGGGAGGGGUGUAUUUAUUAGAUAAAAAACCAAUGCCCCUCGGGGCUCCUUGGUGAUUCAUAAUAACUUAACGAAUCGCAUGGCCUUGCGCCGGCGAUGGUUCAUUCAAAUUUCUGCCCUAUCAACUUUCGAUGGUAGGAUAGUGGCCUACCAUGGUGGCAACGGGUAACGGGGAAUUAGGGUUCGAUUCCGGAGAGGGAGCCUGAGAAACGGCUACCACAUCCAAGGAAGGCAGCAGGCGCGCAAAUUACCCAAUCCCGACACGGGGAGGUAGUGACAAUAAAUACUGAUACGGGGCUCUUUUGGGUCUCGUAAUUGGAAUGAGAACAAUCUAAACCCCUUAACGAGGAACAAUUGGAGGGCAAGUCUGGUGCCAGCAGCCGCGGUAAUUCCAGCUCCAAUAGCGUAUAUUAAAGUUGUUGCAGUUAAAAAGCUCGUAGUUGAACCUUGGGUCUGGCUGGCCGGUCCGCCUCACCGCGAGUACUGGUCCGGCUGGACCUUUCCUUCUGGGGAAGCCCAUGGCCUUCACUGGCUGUGGGGGGAACCAGGACUUUUACUGUGAAAAAAUUAGAGUGUUCAAAGCAGGCCUUUGCUCGGAUACAUUAGCAUGGAAUAAUAGAAUAGGACGUGCGGUUCUAUUUUUGUUGGUUUCUAGGACCGCCGUAAUGAUUAAUACGGAUAGUCGGGGGGCGUCAGUUAUUCAGCUGUCAGAGGUGAAAUUGAGGAUUUUGGCUGGAGAACUUAACUACUUGACGGAAAAAGGCGAUUUCCGCGCCCCGCGAAG
Molecule: ribosomal RNA, 924 nt
Filed under: Aspergillus nidulans
Lineage: Eukaryota; Fungi; Ascomycota; Eurotiomycetes; Eurotiales; Aspergillaceae
Description: SSU rRNA
Rfam family: Eukaryotic small subunit ribosomal RNA
Source: RNAcentral